This 642-nucleotide ribosomal RNA is filed under the name Hydnellum piperatum. Its description in RNAcentral is "eukaryotic LSU rRNA". The stretch from base 268 to 421 matches the Rfam family "5.8S ribosomal RNA". The record is from RNAcentral. Lineage: Eukaryota; Fungi; Basidiomycota; Agaricomycetes; Thelephorales; Thelephoraceae.
AAGGAUCAUUAAUGAAAUCGAACGUUCGGGUUGUUGCUGGUCUCUCUCUCUCUCUCUCUUUGGAGAAGGGGGGGGGGUUAUAACGUGCACGCCUCGAUUGUUGUUGUUCCAUCUUUCUUUUACACCUGUGCACGAUCUGUAGUUAGGGAUGAUCACGGGGCCGGCUUUGUCGGCGUCGAAUGCCCUGGCUAUGAACGGUUUAUUAUACACCUUGAUUUUGUUUUCAUGGAAUGUUUGUCCGCGUCGUAAACGGCGCGAAUGAGAUACAACUUUCAGCAACGGAUCUCUUGGCUCUCGCAUCGAUGAAGAACGCAGCGAAAUGCGAUAAGUAAUGUGAAUUGCAGAAUUCAGUGAAUCAUCGAAUCUUUGAACGCACCUUGCGCCCCUUGGUAUUCCGAGGGGCAUGCCUGUUUGAGUGUCAUGAAAUUCUCAACUCGCUUCGGUUUUGUUUUGGAGUGAAGUUGGAUUUGGAGUGUUUGCUGGCCCUGUUCGGCUCCUCUCAAAAGCAUGUGUAGCUCUUUUUUCUUGGCGGGAAAGUAUCUUUGACGUGAUAAUAAUUGUCUACGUCGUGGAGAAAGCCUUGAAUGGGGGAGAGCAUGAAGGGCGAGACCCGACUUUUAUAUUCGACCUCAAAUCAGGCAG